GUCUUUUUGAAAUUAAUUUAAAGUCUAAUCUGCCCACUGAUAAAUAUUAAAGGGCUGCAGUAUAUUGACUGUACAAAGGUAGCAUAAUCAUUAGUUUUUUAAUUGAAAACUUGUAUGAAAGAUUUGAUGAAAUAAUAACUGUCUCUAAAUUAAAAAUAUAAUUUUAUUUUUUAGUAAAAAAGCUAAAAUAAAUUUAAAAGACGAGAAGACCCUAUAGAGUUUUAUAUAAAUUUUAUUUAAAAUUUUAUAUUUAAUUUAUAAAUUUAAUUAGAUUUUAUAUUUUAUUGGGGUGAUAGAAAAAUUAAAUUAACUUUUUUUGAAUAAUAAAUAUUAAUAAAUAAAUAAAUGAUCCAUAUAUAAUGAUUAUAAGAAAAAAUUACCUUAGGGAUAACAGCGUAAUGUUAUUUUUUAGUUCAAAUAAAAAAUAGAGUUUGCGACCUCGAUGUUGGAUUAAGAUAAAAUUUAAAUGCAAAAGUUUAAAAUUUUGAUCUGUUCGAUCAUUAAAAUCUU
Molecule: ribosomal RNA, 510 nt
Filed under: Elymnias malelas
Lineage: Eukaryota; Metazoa; Arthropoda; Insecta; Lepidoptera; Nymphalidae
Description: partial 16S ribosomal RNA
Source: RNAcentral